Papio anubis (olive baboon) is the source of this 2157-nucleotide long non-coding RNA. Lineage: Eukaryota; Metazoa; Chordata; Mammalia; Primates; Cercopithecidae. The record is from Ensembl.
AUGAUGUUGUUGUUUGAUUUACAGAUGGAUAUUACUUGGCAGGUAGAAGCAUUUUCAUGUGGAAGAGCAACAACCUUAGCGAGUCUUGCUCUGUCGCCUAGGCUGGAGUGCAGUGGCACAAUCUCAGUUCACUGCAAACUUCGCCUCCCGGGCCAACGGUCUGCAACCUCAAAACAGAAAGGAGGAGGAGGGUCCAGGAUCAGGCCAACACUGAGAUGUCAGAGGAAUAGGAUCCAGCCAUCCAAGAAUGUUCAGAACCCACUGAACAGACAAAGGGAAAACCAAGAGUGUGAUAUUCCUCAAGACAAAAGAAGAAAGUGGCAGGAAGAAGCUGAAUGAUCAGCUGUGUAGGCUGCUGACAAGAGUUUGGGUAAGGUGAGGGCACACAAAUGACCAUUUGAUAUUACAUCAUGAGUAUUGGUUGGUAACCUCAACUAGAGAAGUUUCUGUAGAUCUCUGGUGUGGAAUCCCGUUUGGAGAACAUUGGAGAAUUAAUGUGAGAUAUGAAUGUAAAAAGGGCAGGGCAGUUACCCUCUUGAGAAGUUUUUCUGAGAAAGAGGAGAAUAAAAAUGGGGCUGUGCUAUUAAAGGGAUAUGAGGUUUUGGAAGAAAUUCUUAAAGAUAAGUUUAUUAGUAUGUUCUCAUGCCCAUAAUGAAGACAUAACCGAGACUGGGUAAUUUACAAAGGGAAGAGGUUUAAUUGACUCAUAGUUCCCCACAGCUGGGGAAGCCUCACAAUCAGAGCAGAAGGCGAACAAGAAACAAAGUCGCGUCUUACAUGGUGGCAGGCAGAGAGCUUGUGUAGGGGAACUCCCCUUUAUAAAACCAUCAGAUCCUGUGAGACUUAUUCACUAUUAUGAGAGCAGCAUGGGAAAGAUCUGCCCCCAUGAUUCAGUUAUCUCCCACAGGGUACCUCCCACAACGCGUGGGAAUUACAAUUCAAGAUGAGAUUUGGGUGGAGACACAGCCAAACCAUUUCAACAGGAGAUUCUAGAGCAAGGUUGUAUGGGUAUGGAAAUGAUACACGAAAAUAGGAGAAAAUAUAAUGUAGAAAACAGGGUGGGGGGACUGCAGGAGAAAAGUCCUUGAGAAGGCAAGAGGGGAUGGCAUCCAGAAUUCAAGAAGUUUGAUCUGCAAUAGAAAUUAGAUAUGUAUUUUUGUUUCAAAAGGAGGGAAUCUAGAGAGUAUGGGUACAGAUGCAAGUUGGUGUAUAGAUUUGGCAGUGGGAGAUUUGGGAGUCAUUGCCUGGGUGCUUCUUUUUUCUCCAUGACUUAUGAGAUAAAGCUGAGGUGGUAGAGAAGGGCAAUGUUGGGCUUUUGAGGAGACAGUAAAAACCUUGUUAAAGUUGUUUUAGAGUGGGAAAAGGAAGAAUGCAUACUAGAUGCUCACAGGAAGAUUGCAGGACAGUGUCGAGUGGCAUCAUUCAUUUACUGAACAAAUAUUCAUUGAAAGUCUACCAUGUUUCAGGUACUAUCCUAGAGGCUAAAAAUACAUCAUGAAAAAACAAGUCCUGGGUUUUAUAUUCUUUUUCCCCCAGAAGUUAUAAUACAGUUAAUUUAUUCGCAACUUUCUUUAUUAUAUUCCAGUUCUAUGAAUACUCCCAGGUCCUCUCCCUGCCCCCUAACCACCACCGCCGGCUUGAGUGAACCUGGAUAUUUCUCAAUACAUCGUCAGUAAGACACAAAUGACGAGUUAGAAUGGUUACAUUUUUAAGAUCCAUCUAUUUAGAUUCAUGAAACAUUGUGGACACCUACUAUGGUCAAGGUAAUUUUUUCUCAGUAUAGGUAAAACCCAGAGGGCUAUAGGGUCAAGUUUGUCAGAUUUGGAUUCCAGCUCCAACUGCUUACUCGUUGUGUGCCUUUAGAUCAUUUAAUUUCGUUGAGCCUUAGGUUCCUCAUCUUAAGAUGGACAUUGUAAGAGCCUGUGUCUCAUAGUUCUCAUAGUUGUGAGUCCUAAUGAGAUUUAUCCAGAGAGCCGAGAAUGAGGCCAGAUGCAUAGUAAGCGCUUGAUGUUACUAGUAUCACUCCUAUAAGGUUCAGCUUCAGAGGAUAACUUUAGUUUCCUUUACUGUAGUCCCUCCACACCUACUGACUGUGGAUGCCAUCUCUUUCCACAACUUUGUCCUGUGAGUGACAAAAUGAUCAAGAGGACAGACCCA